RNAcentral lists this ribosomal RNA (477 nucleotides) under uncultured bacterium. RNAcentral describes it as "bacterial SSU rRNA". It matches the Rfam family "Bacterial small subunit ribosomal RNA", at positions 365 to 832 of the family's 1533-position model. The record is from RNAcentral.
UUCGCAAUGCCCGAAAGGGUGACGAAGCGACGCCGCGUGGGUGAGGAAGGCCUUCGGGUUGUAAAGCCCUGUCAGGAGUUAUGAAAUGUAAGUGCGCUAAUAUCGUGCUUAUUUGACAAAGGCUCCAAAGGAAGCCACGGCUAACUCUGUGCCAGCAGCCGCGGUAAUACAGAGGUGGCGAGCGUUGUUCGGAAUUAUUGGGCGUAAAGAGCACGUAGGUGGGUUUGCAAGUCAGAUGUGAAAGCCUUCUGUUCAACGGAAGAAUUGCAUCUGAAACUGCUAAUCUUGAGUAUAGGAGGGGAGAAUGGAACUUCUGGUGGAGUGGUGAAACGCGUAGAUAUCAGAAGGAACGCCGGCGGCGAAAGCGAUUCUCUGGCCUAUUACUGACACUCAGUGUGCGAAAGCUAGGGGAGCAAACGGGAUUAGAUACCCCGGUAGUCCUAGCCGUAAACGAUGGGCACUAAGUAGAGGGGUUUU